Molecule: ribosomal RNA, 1420 nt
Filed under: Pediococcus pentosaceus
Lineage: Bacteria; Bacillati; Bacillota; Bacilli; Lactobacillales; Lactobacillaceae
Description: bacterial SSU rRNA
Rfam family: Bacterial small subunit ribosomal RNA
Source: RNAcentral
AAGUCGAACGAACUUCCGUUAAUUGAUUAUGACGUACUUGUACUGAUUGAGAUUUUAACACGAAGUGAGUGGCGAACGGGUGAGUAACACGUGGGUAACCUGCCCAGAAGUAGGGGAUAACACCUGGAAACAGAUGCUAAUACCGUAUAACAGAGAAAACCGCAUGGUUUUCUUUUAAAAGAUGGCUCUGCUAUCACUUCUGGAUGGACCCGCGGCGUAUUAGCUAGUUGGUGAGGUAAAGGCUCACCAAGGCAGUGAUACGUAGCCGACCUGAGAGGGUAAUCGGCCACAUUGGGACUGAGACACGGCCCAGACUCCUACGGGAGGCAGCAGUAGGGAAUCUUCCACAAUGGACGCAAGUCUGAUGGAGCAACGCCGCGUGAGUGAAGAAGGGUUUCGGCUCGUAAAGCUCUGUUGUUAAAGAAGAACGUGGGUAAGAGUAACUGUUUACCCAGUGACGGUAUUUAACCAGAAAGCCACGGCUAACUACGUGCCAGCAGCCGCGGUAAUACGUAGGUGGCAAGCGUUAUCCGGAUUUAUUGGGCGUAAAGCGAGCGCAGGCGGUCUUUUAAGUCUAAUGUGAAAGCCUUCGGCUCAACCGAAGAAGUGCAUUGGAAACUGGGAGACUUGAGUGCAGAAGAGGACAGUGGAACUCCAUGUGUAGCGGUGAAAUGCGUAGAUAUAUGGAAGAACACCAGUGGCGAAGGCGGCUGUCUGGUCUGCAACUGACGCUGAGGCUCGAAAGCAUGGGUAGCGAACAGGAUUAGAUACCCUGGUAGUCCAUGCCGUAAACGAUGAUUACUAAGUGUUGGAGGGUUUCCGCCCUUCAGUGCUGCAGCUAACGCAUUAAGUAAUCCGCCUGGGGAGUACGACCGCAAGGUUGAAACUCAAAAGAAUUGACGGGGGCCCGCACAAGCGGUGGAGCAUGUGGUUUAAUUCGAAGCUACGCGAAGAACCUUACCAGGUCUUGACAUCUUCUGACAGUCUAAGAGAUUAGAGGUUCCCUUCGGGGACAGAAUGACAGGUGGUGCAUGGUUGUCGUCAGCUCGUGUCGUGAGAUGUUGGGUUAAGUCCCGCAACGAGCGCAACCCUUAUUACUAGUUGCCAGCAUUAAGUUGGGCACUCUAGUGAGACUGCCGGUGACAAACCGGAGGAAGGUGGGGACGACGUCAAAUCAUCAUGCCCCUUAUGACCUGGGCUACACACGUGCUACAAUGGAUGGUACAACGAGUCGCGAGACCGCGAGGUUAAGCUAAUCUCUUAAAACCAUUCUCAGUUCGGACUGUAGGCUGCAACUCGCCUACACGAAGUCGGAAUCGCUAGUAAUCGCGGAUCAGCAUGCCGCGGUGAAUACGUUCCCGGGCCUUGUACACACCGCCCGUCACACCAUGAGAGUUUGUAACACCCAAAGCCGGUGGGG